RNAcentral lists this long non-coding RNA (391 nucleotides) under Carica papaya (papaya). RNAcentral describes it as "long non-coding RNA (CPAP_LNC007760)". Lineage: Eukaryota; Viridiplantae; Streptophyta; Magnoliopsida; Brassicales; Caricaceae. The record is from RNAcentral.
CGAAGAAUACGAUGGUAAAAAAAUUGAGAGAAACGGGAAAUGAAAAACGAGAAGGGGGUCAUCGAAGAGGUUUUUGGGUUGUAGCUACAACAGCUUGGCCGAGCUUUGCUCGUAUUUUUCGACUCACUCGUUGCACUUUUUGCUCUAAUAUGGGUGUGGGGACGUUCAAAAUUCGAUUCCAAGCAUAAGGGAAAAAAUUCUACCUUUUUCGGCUUCGGGGUGGCUCCAGUGCGGCGACGACAGUGUCCCUCCGGUGGCUGAGCUUCCCUCCGACCGCCCUUAUUCUUCUCCUCCGAUCAAGGGUGUCAGUUAGGGUUUUGGGAGCCCGCUAAAGAGAGGUUUAAGUACCUCUCUUCUCUUAAUCCUGACCAUUCACUCACGUCGACGUGCA